AUUGAACGCUGGCGGCAUGCCUUACACAUGCAAGUCGAACGGCAGCGACGGGGGCAACCCUGGUGGCGAGUGGCGAACGGGUGAGUAAUACAUCGGAACGUGCCCCGUAGGCGGGGGACAACCAGUCGAAAGACUGGCUAAUACCGCAUACGCUCCACGGAGGAAAGCGAGGGGAUCGCAAGACCUUGCACUAUGGGGAGCGGCCGAUGCCCGAUUAGCUAGUUGGUGAGGAAAGGCUCACCAAGGCAACGAUCGGUAGCUGGUCUGAGAGGACGACCAGCCACACUGGGACUGAGACACGGCCCAGACUCCGUACGGGAGGCAGCAGGUGGGGUAAUUUUGGACAAGUGGGCGCAAGCCUGAUCCAGCCAUGCCGCGUGCGGGAAGAA
This 389-nucleotide ribosomal RNA is filed under the name uncultured bacterium. RNAcentral's name for it is "bacterial SSU rRNA". It matches the Rfam family "Bacterial small subunit ribosomal RNA", at positions 29 to 412 of the family's 1533-position model. The record is from RNAcentral.